GGUAUUCCUUAUCUGUGUCUAAUUACGUUGAAUUGUCUGGAGCCUGUCUCUUUGUGCUCUGUGGGCAAAACACAAAGAGACAGGCCCGUCGUUUAUACCUUUAUAGGUACGUGC
Molecule: small RNA, 114 nt
Filed under: Erwinia rhapontici
Lineage: Bacteria; Pseudomonadati; Pseudomonadota; Gammaproteobacteria; Enterobacterales; Erwiniaceae
Description: tp2
Rfam family: tp2
Source: RNAcentral